Molecule: unclassified non-coding RNA, 310 nt
Filed under: plant metagenome
Description: partial contains 5.8S ribosomal RNA, internal transcribed spacer 2, and large subunit ribosomal RNA
Rfam family: 5.8S ribosomal RNA (bases 1-105)
Source: RNAcentral
GAAAUGCGAUAAGUAAUGUGAAUUGCAGAAUUCAGUGAAUCAUCGAAUCUUUGAACGCACAUUGCGCCCGCCAGUAUUCUGGCGGGCAUGCCUGUUCGAGCGUCAUUUCAACCAUCAAGCCCCCGGGCUUGUGUUGGGGACCUGCGGCUGCCGCAGGCCCCGAAAACCAGUGGCGGGCUCGCUGUCACACCGGGCGUAGUAGAUUUUUCGUCUCGCCCAGGGCGUGCUGCGGGUUCCGGCCGUUAAAAAGCCUCUCUUUUUAACCCAAGGUUGACCUCGGAGCAGGUAGGAAGACCCGCUGAACUUAAGC